This 408-nucleotide long non-coding RNA is filed under the name Homo sapiens (human). RNAcentral describes it as "non-protein coding lnc-ATP6V1G3-9:1". The record is from RNAcentral. Lineage: Eukaryota; Metazoa; Chordata; Mammalia; Primates; Hominidae.
AUGUGGAAUCCCAAUGCCGGCCAGCCAGGACCAAAUCCAUAUCCCCCCACCAUAGGGUACCCUGGAGGUUCCAAUCCUGCCCACCCACCACCUAUCAAUCCACCCUUUCCCCAAGGCCCCUUUCUUCCUCUCCCAGGGCAAUCCAGCUUUCCCCCCAGGUGGGCCCCCUCAUCCUGUGCCACAGCCAGGGUAUCCAGGAUGCCAAUCCUCGGGUCCCUACCCUCCUCCAUACCCACCACCUGCCCCUGGAUGCCUCCUGUGAAUCCCUUGGCUCCUGGCAUGUUCGGACUAGGAGUGAUAGAGGACAAGAAGAUGCAGAUGAAAAUGAAGAAAGCUCACAAAAAGAUGCACAAGCACCACGAGCAUGGCAAGCAUUCCUCCUCCUCUUCCAUCAGUGACUCUGACUGA